UUGGAGGUCGCCUCUCAAAUAUCGAGAGUAAUCAUGCAACACAUGUUUACUUCGAGUAUCAUGUAUAUGUUUCUUAGGUUGGGUUGAAUGCAUUUAUAAGGACAGUGUCAAUUUUUGUUCGUCUACUUGUGUGGUGACAUAAUAUCAAAGAUUCUAGUCAUGUACUUCAGAGUUAGAAUGGUGUCAAAUGGUGAAAAAGUAUGGAGUUUAAACUCAUACAUAUGAUUGCAUUGUCUUGUGAUUGUUCUAUUGAAGGUGAUAAUAAUUUUUAUUAGAUGAUUUGAUGUUAUAAUGAGAUAUUUAUUUUCCUUGAAUGAUUUUAAUGUUAUAAUAUAAUAUUAUUUUCUUAAAUAUUUUGAUAUACC
Molecule: long non-coding RNA, 365 nt
Filed under: Cicer arietinum (chickpea)
Lineage: Eukaryota; Viridiplantae; Streptophyta; Magnoliopsida; Fabales; Fabaceae
Description: long non-coding RNA (CARI_LNC001505)
Source: RNAcentral